UGGGGAAUAUUGCACAAUGGGCGCAAGCCUGAUGCAGCCAUGCCGCGUGUAUGAAGAAGGCCUUCGGGUUGUAAAGUACUUUCAGCGGGGAGGAAGGUGUUGAGGCUAAUAACCUCAGCAAUUGACGUUACCCGCAGAAGAAGCACCGGCUAACUCCGUGCCAGCAGCCGCGGUAAUACGGAGGGUGCAAGCUUUAAUCGGAAUUACUGGGCGUAAAGCGCACGCAGGCGGUCUGUCAAGUCGGAUGUGAAAUCCCCGGGCUCAACCUGGGAACUGCAUUCGAAACUGGCAGGCUAGAGUCUUGUAGAGGGGGGUAGAAUUCCAGGUGUAGCGGUGAAAUGCGUAGAGAUCUGGAGGAAUACCGGUGGCGAAGGCGGCCCCCUGGACAAAGACUGACGCUCAGGUGCGAAAGCGUGGGGAGCAAACA
Molecule: ribosomal RNA, 427 nt
Filed under: uncultured bacterium
Lineage: Bacteria
Description: partial 16S ribosomal RNA
Rfam family: Bacterial small subunit ribosomal RNA
Source: RNAcentral